RNAcentral lists this transfer RNA (67 nucleotides) under Lophiodes caulinaris (spottedtail angler). RNAcentral describes it as "tRNA-Tyr". It matches the Rfam family "tRNA". Rfam says of the family: Transfer RNA (tRNA) molecules are approximately 80 nucleotides in length. Lineage: Eukaryota; Metazoa; Chordata; Actinopteri; Lophiiformes; Lophiidae. The record is from RNAcentral.
GGUAAGAUGGCUGAGUAAGUGGUGGGUUGUAGCCCCAUAGACAGAGGUCAAAAUCCUCUUCUUAUCA